Molecule: transfer RNA, 86 nt
Filed under: Phycisphaerales bacterium
Lineage: Bacteria; Pseudomonadati; Planctomycetota; Phycisphaerae; Phycisphaerales
Description: tRNA-Leu
Rfam family: tRNA
About the family: Transfer RNA (tRNA) molecules are approximately 80 nucleotides in length. Their secondary structure includes four short double-helical elements and three loops (D, anti-codon, and T loops).
Source: RNAcentral
GGGCCUGUGGCGGAAUUGGCAGACGCAGCGGACUUAAAAUCCGCAGUCUCGAAAGAGACGUGAGGGUUCGAGUCCCUCCGGGCCCA